AGAUGAAAUACUUGAGUGUUUGUUUCCUGAUUCUGUUCCUGGUAGCAGUGUCUCUGGCCAUGAACAAUUAACUGAAGAUUCUCUCACUUGUGAAUUAAAGUCAGCUCCUCCUAAUAGUCUCACAAUGCGUCUAGCCAAAGCUUUCUGUAACAUUCAUAAUGAUUAUGGUCUUAAAGCAAUGGCUCAUAUUUGGUAUGAAGUGAUACAGGAACUGCGCUACAGGUGGGAGAAUGGUAUAGCAUUACCAAGUUUAGGGAAGAGUCAUCCUGACAUGUCUUGUUGUCUCUUACAUCAGAAACUACAGUAGAUGCCGUGGCUAGUGUUACUCCACAUCAUGUGAAUGACUAUACUUGACAUUAUGUUCUACUUUAGCCCUCGGUUUGGAUCUGAGAUUCUUGAUGGUUAUUCUGCAUUGGCAGCUGCACAAGAAAUACGUACAACGAAUUUACAAGACGUAAUUUUGAUUUUAUUUCAAAUAUUGGGACAGUAUCAAUGUUUGCUCAUUUGCUUGGUAGCGUAAUAUGCUAUGACCUGAUGUAUGAGACCUGUUGUAUCAAUGGACUACUGGAGAAAAGGAAAGAGAUUGUAUACCAAUGGACAUUGAUUUAACAGAUCAUCCAUUUAAAAAUGAGUCUGAUGAAAAGUUUGAAGAGCUACAGAAAUUAAGAAUAAGAGUUUCCAAAACUUGAAUCAGAGCUAGGGAUAAAGAUAGGGGUUCAGUUCUAUAAAGUUUGAAGUGGAUCAGUUAUUUGCUGUUGGGUCUCCAUUGGGUAUACUCUUAAUGCUAAUGAAACAUAGUUCACUAGUGAAGGAAAGCAAAGGAGCUGAUUCACUGCUGGCUUCUGCUAACAGAUUCAUAAUGUACAUCAUCUUUCAGAUCCUGUGGCCUAUUAUUUGGAGUCCAGUAUAUGCUCAAGUGAAGCCAGUAAAGAUGGACACUGCUAGUAGCAAACCAACGCAGAAAUCAAUCAGUCUAGCUGAAGGACCCAAGACACCAGAAGUGACACAGAGUACUAAGAGCAGUAGCAGCAGCUGGACACAAUCACUGAUAUCAGCUGUAGUUAAGUGUUGCUUCUAGUAAUGGCGCUGAAACUUGUAAAUCAUUUACCUCAUGAUAAAGUAGGCUUUUGAUGACACCGAAAUACUACCUGAAGAUCGAUUAAAUGAGGGACUUGAUUUUAUGUUCUGUGACGGACUGAAAGAGAACAGUUACUUAAACUCAAUCACAGCUCACAUUAGGUAUUGGACCAACUCUGACUGUGCAACGUAUCUAUUGCUUCAAUUGUAUACUUAGAAAAAGGACAGCAAACUGUGACUGAUGGUAUAUUGUUGAUUUAUAUAGUGGAUUUCUGUUUCUUUCUUUGUGAUUAGCAGUAAUAA
Long non-coding RNA from Amphimedon queenslandica, 1380 nucleotides. RefSeq lists it as uncharacterized. NCBI's taxonomy places the organism in Eukaryota, Metazoa, Porifera, Demospongiae, Haplosclerida, Niphatidae. The record is from RefSeq and is a predicted model, not a curated record. The transcript has 11 exons.